AAUCCAUGAUGAUGACACUUCUUCAAUAAAUCCUUAAACCUCUACCAUGUUUCAUAAAGUGCCUCAAUAUCAAAUUGAAUAAAAAAAGAGAUGUAUUUCCUCAACUU
Non-coding RNA from Gossypium hirsutum (cotton), 107 nucleotides. Lineage: Eukaryota; Viridiplantae; Streptophyta; Magnoliopsida; Malvales; Malvaceae. The record is from Rfam.